CUUGCUUCGGCAACACAUACUAAAAUUAGAACGAUACAGAGAAGAUUAGCAUGGCCCCUGCACAAGGAUGACAUGCAAAUUCAUGAAGCGUUCCAUAUUUAA
Molecule: small nuclear RNA, 102 nt
Organism: Mus caroli (Ryukyu mouse)
Lineage: Eukaryota; Metazoa; Chordata; Mammalia; Rodentia; Muridae
Source: RefSeq, a predicted model, not a curated record